UAAACAAUUUAUCAUCUUUGAAAACUUGAAGACCUUCUACUUCUAGCUUUAUCUUGCAGAAGGAUAAUGAUUCCUGAUCUAUCUGAAUGAGGUUUAACACCAAGAACCAGAUUAGGCCUUGGACAACUCAGAUGGAAAUUAAAUCUUGUCUGCAUCACUGCUCCAUCUCCAAAUUGACUUGAGCUUUUCUUAUUUACUGACAUUCUAUUUUUGUACAGAUUUAUAUACACUGGAUCUGUAGAAAUUAUAUUGGAUAUUGCACAAGAUCUCCUCAUAGCUACUGAUCAGUAUCUCUUGCAGGGAUAAAGCGUCCCUGUGAGUGUACCAUUGCCCAUGAUAUAUCACUGGAAAAUGUUUCAAGAAUGCAUGAGCUUUCAGAAGCCUUCCAUGCUAUUUCCUUAAGACACACAUGCCUCUUGUCUAUCUUGGAGCAGUUUAGUAAACUGAGUUCUAGGGCCGGUUGAAAGGCACGAUGAGUACAGAAGAAACUCAAAUUUUAUAAAGGAAUUCAUUUUCCUUGGUGGAUGUUUUCCUUCAUUCAUUAGAGUAACAAUGGCCAUACUGUUGCAUCAAGACACUGUGUGGAGCAUCUGGAAAACAUAAGAAUACAUUAUCACCAGACACUCAAACGUUGGAGGAAAAAUUUCUUGGACAAUGAGAGAUACAAAUCAAAAUUCUUAGGGUUCGAAGGGGAUUUGCUGGUCCAGUUGGGGCUGGCUUCUUUAAUUUCAUCACGGCUCUAAGGAAAGAAAUCCGUAUCAUAGUAAGAAGGGGCAAAGAAGAUGCACAAGCUUUUCCUAAGUUCUUGAUUGCGUCCCCUUCAUUUCACGGUGGUCGAGGUGCCCUUCCUUCUGCUGGUGGUCAUCCAGCUGACUUGACUUUCCUUGCUGGUGGCAGGCACUGAGUUUGCGUUUUGGAUUGAUUUCUUUUGGUUUAUUGUUGUUUUACGAGAAUUUUCUACUUAAGCAUGGUAGUCAAGCAGCUCAAAGAUGAUAAUUUUCUGUUGAAGUGUGCUACACCUGAUCAGGCUAAAUGUCCUCAGUUCUCUUUUGGAAGUAUUCAAAUUCCUCUUUACUGCUUUGCUAGCCAGUCUCUUGAUGAUAGUGGUCCCUUUUGAAGGUUUUCAUGCAUCCCAGAUGAUGAACCAAGUACAUUGGAGUCUCUUCUUCUUGCUCAAUGGGAAGACAGAAUGUGGAAAGGCAUUUACAGAUAUGAUGUGACAACAUCAGAAAUUAAGGUCUGAAACACUUUAAGCAGAUCAUUGGUGGAAGGAGAAAGUUUCUUGCUCAGUUGAAUGAAGAAUGGAAUAUGGAUCAUUUAUCAGACCCUGAUGAGAAUGAAGUCUGCUGGCGAGGGGAUUCUUUCAUAUUUAACUGGGUAAAACAUCAUGAGUAGUUGCUCUUCUGUGUUGCAAGUGGUGAAAAGGCAAUCCCUGAGUUGAUUCCUACAGCUCCUGUGCCUAAUGCUUCCAUAUUAGUACUUAGUAAUGUGACCCCUGUUGAAUAUGGUCAUGUCUUCCUGGUUCCUCAUGGCUUUACCAGCAUCUCCCAGUUUAUGGAUGCAAGAUCUUUAGAAAUGGUGACCAGGGUUGCUAUGGAAGUAAAUAAUCGUUCUUUCCGAGUGUUCUAUGACUGCUCUAUGCCUAGUGCUUCUCUAUAUUUCCAGGUACCAACCCGCUAAUCUUAAUGCCUUCCCCACUUUGUUCUAGACAUAUAUUGAUAGCAAUCCGUAUUUAAUGUUGGAACUUGCUAGAUUACUAUAGAAAAACAUAAAUCUUAUUGUUUUAUUUGUUGUGGAGAUAUGAGGAAGGAUAGGUUUGUUAAGUUGGGCAAACCUCUUACACUGAUUGUCUAAAUGAACUUGAGGUUUGAAAUGGAUGGCCAUAAUAUAUUCAGCUGAUCCCUUAUUC
RNA transcript from Vitis riparia (riverbank grape), 1909 nucleotides. RefSeq lists it as uncharacterized. The transcript has 9 exons. The record is from RefSeq and is a predicted model, not a curated record. Lineage: Eukaryota; Viridiplantae; Streptophyta; Magnoliopsida; Vitales; Vitaceae.